Molecule: small RNA, 88 nt
Organism: Amantichitinum ursilacus
Lineage: Bacteria; Pseudomonadati; Pseudomonadota; Betaproteobacteria; Neisseriales; Chitinibacteraceae
Rfam family: sRNA-Xcc1
Source: Rfam
GGCCGGGUAGUGCGCAGUCAUACAAGACCCGAAAGGGGAAAGCUGCGGGCCGUCUAGUUGCGGUGUUCAAGUACCUGGCCGCCUCUCU